Non-coding RNA from Camellia sinensis, 1295 nucleotides. The record is from RefSeq and is a predicted model, not a curated record. Lineage: Eukaryota; Viridiplantae; Streptophyta; Magnoliopsida; Ericales; Theaceae.
UUCUUCCCCCCUCAACCAAAAAUCCCAAAUCUCAAAUCCCUAAUCUUUUGAACCAAAAAUCCCCUUCUCUUUUUCUCUCUCUCUCUCGCGACUGUGAGCAGGAAAGACGACGACGUCAAGCAAUAGUGAGCAGUGGUAGACGACGGCGUCGAGCGACGGCAGCGACAACGUGAGAGUUGAUGAGGAAUCUAGGUUUUUAGCUUCUUCUCAUGGAUCGAGCUAUCUCUGCGAUCUCGGCCUCGGCUUAUCUUUGCCUUUUUCUGGUGAUUUCUCGGUUACUAUAUGUCUCUAGUAGACGACGGCGUCGAGCGACGGCAGCAACAGCGUGAGAGUUGAUAAGGAAUCUGGGUUUUUAGCUUCUUCUCAUGGAUCGAGCUAUCUCUGCGAUCUCGGCCUCGUCUUAUCUUUGCCUUUUUUCUGGUGAUUUUUCGGUUACUAUAUGUCUCUGGUAAUGCCGAAGGUGCGUAUUGAUUUCUGUUACCCUUGAUUCCUGGUGAUUUCUUUUACCCUCGGUUACUACACGUCUCUGGUGAUUUUUGGUGUUUCAUCCAUUGAAGUUUCUUCUACAUUUCAAGUUCAUCUUUUUUUUAAAGUCGGGUGAUGGUGUUUUGGAAGGUAGAUGUGGAUGGAUUUUUAGAGUGCGAAGGGGUUUGACAUUAAAGGAUCCAUUAGAUUGCUAGAUUGGGACGAAGUCUGCAAUCCGUAAACUGACAGUAAUCUGGGUGUUCCUAACUACAACCAAAACUUUUAUCACCAUCACGUCCACUUUUGGACUCAGCCUUCCCAGCAGAGUCGUUGAUAACAAUCAUAAUCUUACAACACCUCUAAUGGAGAAGCUGUUACAUUCAGAAACAACUUCUCAUUAUUAUUUUAUACUCAAGUUGCACUCCACAUUGUGUUAAUCAUGUCUUUAAUUUCCAGAUCAAGUAAUUUAGUCUUCUCAAUUCGUUUGAUGAUGAGCGGGGGAUAUUAUAUGACUACAUAUCACCAUCAUUGUCACUCGAUAUUUCCUGAGUAGGAGUUUUGCUUCUUGUGGAAUGCAUGUUUGUGAAGAAUGCGACUAAUUUUUGUUUUUGUUACCCACAGAGAACGAUGAGCAAAACUAGUAAUUUUGGUUUAUUGUAUUUUGAAUUAUGAACAACAUGAUGCAUUUAAACAUUAUAUAUGUAUUAUGGAACAUUAUGUGCUGGGGUAAUUUUGUUGAUGCGUAGUUAGGAAUGCAAGAAUAUUUUUAUUAUGGAGAAAUUAUUUUUUCUAUACAGGAAUUUUUAUAUUAUUAUGCAAUUAUUAGUUUA